AGUGAACGCUGGCGGUAGGCCUAACACAUGCAAGUCGAACGGCAGCACAGUAAUAGCUUGCUCUUACGGGUGGCGAGUGGCGGACGGGUGAGGAAUACAUCGGAAUCUACUUUUUCGUGGGGGAGAACGUAGGGAAACUUACGCUAAUACCGCAUACGACCUACGGGUGAAAUCAUGGGAUCUUCGGACCUUGCGCGAUUGAAUGAGCCGAUGUCGGAUUAGCUAGUUGGCGGGGUAAAGGCCCACCAAGGCGACGAUCCGUAGCUGGUCUGAGAGGAUGAUCAGCCACACUGGAACUGAGACACGGUCCAGACUCCUACGGGAGGCAGCAGUGGGGAAUAUUGGACAAUGGGCGCAAGCCUGAUCCAGCCAUACCGCGUGGGUGAAGAAGGCCUUCGGGUUGUAAAGCCCUUUUGCUGGGAAAGAAAAGCAGCAGGUUAAUACCUCGCUGUUCUGACGGUACCCAAAGAAUAAGCACCGGCUAACUUCGUG
This 492-nucleotide ribosomal RNA is filed under the name uncultured bacterium. RNAcentral's name for it is "partial 16S ribosomal RNA". It matches the Rfam family "Bacterial small subunit ribosomal RNA", at positions 29 to 507 of the family's 1533-position model. The record is from RNAcentral.